This 498-nucleotide ribosomal RNA is filed under the name uncultured bacterium. RNAcentral describes it as "bacterial SSU rRNA". It matches the Rfam family "Bacterial small subunit ribosomal RNA", at positions 899 to 1397 of the family's 1533-position model. The record is from RNAcentral.
ACUCAAAUGAAUUGACGGGGGCCCGCACAAGCGGAGGAACAUGUGGUUUAAUUCGAUGAUACGCGAGGAACCUUACCCGGGCUCGAACGGCUCUAGAAUAUAUCAGAGAUGGUAUAGCCAGCGAUGGCUGGAGUCGAGGUGCUGCAUGGUUGUCGUCAGCUCGUGCCGUGAGGUGUAGGCUUAAGUGCCAUAACGAGCGCAACCCUUGUUGUUAGUUGCCAUCAGGUAAAGCUGGGGACUCUAGCGAGACUGCCACCGUAAGGUGCGAGGAAGGGGGGGAUGACGUCAAAUCAGCACGGCCCUUACGUCCGGGGCGACACACGUGUUACAAUGGUGGAUACAGAGGGGCGCUACCCAGUGAUGGGAUGCGAAUCUCUAAAGUCCAUCUCAGUUCGGAUUGGAGUCUGCAACUCGACUCCAUGAAGUUGGAUUCGCUAGUAAUCGCGCAUCAGCCAUGGCGCGGUGAAUACGUUCCCGGGCCUUGUACACACCGCCCGU